Carya illinoinensis is the source of this 1825-nucleotide RNA transcript. It is a transcript of the gene named zinc transporter 11-like, with no coding region annotated. NCBI's taxonomy places the organism in Eukaryota, Viridiplantae, Streptophyta, Magnoliopsida, Fagales, Juglandaceae. The transcript has 4 exons. The record is from RefSeq and is a predicted model, not a curated record.
UACUACAGAGCUCUUUCUUGACUUCGUCGUCUUCGCCCUUUGUACUGCCUGCUUCUCUCUCUGUCUCUCUCUCUCUCUCUCUCUCUCGCCUCUAAGUAGUACAAGCUACGAAGAUUUAUCAACCCUCUCUCUCUAUAUAUAACAAAGUUAAAAAUGUAGAAAAAUUCCCUACCAUAUCCUUAACCUUGCACUCGCAAUGUCUCGCUUCUUCCUCUUCUUCUCCCUCCUCCUCCUCGUCUUCCUCUCCGCCUCCGCUCACAGCGGCCACGACGAUGGCGACAGCGACGCAAUCGAGCCCGACCUUCGCUCCAGGCCUUUGAUACUGACUAAGAUAUGGUGCUUGAUAAUUAUCUUCAUAGCCACUUUCGUCCCCGGCGUUUCCCCUUACUUCUUCAAGUGGAACGAGGGCUUCUUGAUUCUCGGGACGCAGUUUGCUGGCGGUGUUUUCUUGGGCACGGCGCUGAUGCACUUUCUCAGCGACGCCAACAAGACUUUCGAGCACUUGACUACAAAAGAUUACCCGUUUGCUUACAUGUUGGCUUGCGCCGGCUACUUGUUGACCAUGAUUGCUGAUUGUGUUAUCUCCUACGUGUAUGGCAAGGGAAACGGUGCUGGGUCCGGUGCUGCAGAUCUCGAGCAUCAAGGUGGAGUUGAGCAAGGGAAAAGUAUUAAUAACGGCUUGACUUCACAAGCACAGCAUCAGGUCCAUCAUGGCUCCGUUGCUGCUGUGGAUUCACUUGGUGAUAGCAUUUUGUUGAUUGUCGCCUUGUGUUUCCAUUCUGUCUUUGAGGGUAUUGCGAUUGGAGUUGCCGAUACAAAAGCUAAUGCCUGGAAAGCCUUAUGGACAAUCACUUUGCACAAGAUAUUUGCAGCCAUUGCCAUGGGUAUUGCUCUCCUCCGCAUGAUUCCGAACCGUCCUCUCUUGUCAUGUGCUGCCUAUGCUUUUGCAUUCGCCAUUUCAAGUCCAAUCGGUGUGGCCAUUGGAAUCGUUAUAGAUGCCACAACUCAGGGUGCUGUGGCAGAUUGGAUCUUUGUCAUAUCAAUGGGUCUAGCAUGUGGAGUUUUCAUCUAUGUAUCCAUAAACCACCUACUAGCAAAAGGCUAUAUACCACAGAAGACUGUCACGGCAGACACAUCCUCUCUCAAGUUUUUUGCAGUGUUGUUAGGCAUUGGGGUUAUAGCUGUUGUGAUGAUUUGGGACACCUGAGGUCAAGCCGAAGUGGAUGUGUGUUUGGUUCCUGCUUGAUUGAACUUUGUUGGAAGUCAGCUCUCGUCUCCCAUCACAAAAGAACGCGGAAUUGUAGGCUAGUAAGGGAGGGGGUAAUUUGUUGGCAUCGUUUUGGGACUGAAGUGAAUGGUGGAUUUGUUCCGGUAGGCUUUUCCUUGUAUGUUCACUUUGGGUGUCUCAGAGAUAUGGCAAAAGGCGCCCAUAAUGAGUGUGGAGAGAUUUGGCAGAAGGGCCAAGCAUGGUAGGACAAAAGAAUAUGAAAGAAGGCGGAGAAUCUGAGCAAAUCCGACUGCAAAUGACAAAGAAAUUGGGAGAAUAAUUAAAUAAUAUACUUCGGCCGAGGAAAGCAAGGGCAUCAACCAUUGGAAGAUAAUUUCUCGUGCAGAGAAACUCUUGGGAGAGAAGAGGGGUCUGUUUCUGUUUUUUAACAUGCCAUGUACAAAGACAUCUCUCUAAAAUACAUUUAUCUGUGUAUCUGUUUCGGAUAAUUAUUUAUAGUCAAUCAUUACUGGAUGCAUGGAGUUGUUAGCAGUAAAAUCAACUUGGCCAAGAGUCCUAAAAGUCUUUUGAAAUAAAAGUAGUUUGUUAAUAAGAGAA